GACAAUGUGGCCGAGUGGUUAAGGCGACGCACUCGAAUAAUUAGAGUGAUGCGUUGGGAUUUCCCGCGCAGGUUCGAAUCCUGCUGUUGUCG
RNAcentral lists this transfer RNA (92 nucleotides) under Debaryomyces hansenii. It matches the Rfam family "tRNA". Rfam says of the family: Transfer RNA (tRNA) molecules are approximately 80 nucleotides in length. Their secondary structure includes four short double-helical elements and three loops (D, anti-codon, and T loops). Further hydrogen bonds mediate the characteristic L-shaped molecular structure. tRNAs have two regions of fundamental functional importance: the anti-codon, which is responsible for specific mRNA codon recognition, and the 3' end, to which the tRNAs corresponding amino acid is attached (by aminoacyl-tRNA synthetases). tRNAs cope with the degeneracy of the genetic code in two manners: having more than one tRNA (with a specific anti-codon) for a particular amino acid; and 'wobble' base-pairing, i.e. permitting non-standard base-pairing at the 3rd anti-codon position. Lineage: Eukaryota; Fungi; Ascomycota; Pichiomycetes; Serinales; Debaryomycetaceae. The record is from Rfam by way of RNAcentral.